UACGAAGGGGGCUAGCGUUGCUCGGAAUCAUUGGGCGUAAAGCGCGUGUAGGCGGCUCGGUAAGUCCGCUCUGAAAGCCCGGGGCUCAACCCCGGGAGGCGGGUGGAUACUGCUGAGCUCGAGUCCGGAAGAGGAGUGUGGAAUUCCUGGUGUAGCGGUGAAAUGCGCAGAUAUCAGGAAGAACACCCGUGGCUAAGGCGGCUCUCUAGUACGGUACUGACGCUGAGACGCGAAAGCGUGGGGAGCGAACAGG
Molecule: ribosomal RNA, 253 nt
Filed under: uncultured bacterium
Lineage: Bacteria
Description: partial 16S ribosomal RNA
Rfam family: Bacterial small subunit ribosomal RNA
Source: RNAcentral